UAACUCCGAUAGCCAGCAUGUCAGCGGCUAUUACGGGAGGCGCUGCAAAGCUGAUUAACUCCGGUAUUUCACUGCGCUGUAAGACGCCGUGCGUCGGCCGGUUUCAUCAUAGGUCAGAUGCGAAAUCCCCGGGCCUUACACAUGGGAAACUGCAUUUGAAACCUGGUCUACCUAGAGUAUGGUAGAGGAAAGCGGAAUUUUCUGGUGUAGCGGUGAAAUGCGUAGAUAUCAGAAGGAUACAUCAAUGGCGAAGGCAGCCUCUCCUGGCCCAUAUCCUGACGCUGAGGUACGAACAGCGUGGGUAGCAAUACAGGAUUAGAUACCCUGGUAGUCCACGCCGUAUAACGAUGAUACCUAGCCGUUGGCGGGGAUUUACCCUCUAGUGGCGAAGCUAACGCGUUAAGUUAUCCGCCUGGGGAGUACGGCCGCAAGGCUAAAACUCAAAGGAAUUGACGGGGACCCGCACAAGCGGUGGAGCAUGUGGUUUAAUUCGAUGCAACGCGAAGAACCUUACCUGGUCUUGACAUCCUGCGAACUUUCUAGAAAUAGAUUGGUGCCUUCGGGAACGCAGUGACAGGUGCUGCAUGGCUGUCGUCAGCUCGUGUCGUGAGAUGUUGGGUUAAGUCCCGUAACGAGCGCAACCCCUAUCCUUAUUUGCCAGCACAUUAUGGUGGGAACUAUAAGGAGACUGCCGGUGAUAAACCGGAGGAAGGCGGGGAUGACGUCAAGUCAUCAUGGCCCUUACGACCAGGGCUACACACGUGCUACAAUGGGAAGGACAAAGAGCCGCGAAGCCGCGAGGUGUAGCUAAUCUCACAAAUCUUCUCGUAGUCCGGAUUGGAGUCUGCAACUCGACUCCAUGAAGUCGGAAUCGCUAGUAAUCGUAGAUCAGAAUGCUACGGUGAAUACGUUCCCGGGUCUUGUACACACCGCCCGUCAUACCAUGGGUAGUGGGUUGCACCAGUAUAGUGGCUAGUCUAACUUAGUGAGGACAUCACCA
This 1000-nucleotide ribosomal RNA is filed under the name uncultured marine bacterium. RNAcentral describes it as "bacterial SSU rRNA". It matches the Rfam family "Bacterial small subunit ribosomal RNA". The record is from RNAcentral.